Molecule: transfer RNA, 630 nt
Filed under: uncultured Prochlorococcus sp.
Lineage: Bacteria; Bacillati; Cyanobacteriota; Cyanophyceae; Synechococcales; Prochlorococcaceae
Description: partial 16S-23S ribosomal RNA intergenic spacer
Rfam family: tRNA (bases 250-322)
Source: RNAcentral
AGGGAGACAAUAAAUUGAUUGUGACGUCUAAGUUAUUUAUUCUUAGGCCGCAAUCCUGUCACCUUAAGGUCGAUCGGUACCUCAGAUUUUUGAAUUAGUUUUAUAACUAAUUCUUUGAUUUCAGUUCCUAAACUUGUCUAGGUCACACCCAACAAAGGUUUCUCCUGGGCCAUUAGCUCAGGUGGUUAGAGCGCACCCCUGAUAAGGGUGAGGUCCCUGGUUCAAGUCCAGGAUGGCCCAUUCGUUGUUGGGGGUAUAGCUCAGUUGGUAGAGCGCCUGCUUUGCAAGCAGGAUGUCAGCGGUUCGAGUCCGCUUACCUCCACUGAAAACUAUCCUGAUAACUAAAUUCGGAGAAAAAUUUGUAGAAGUGACUUAGAAUUGUCUGUCUGAAAAGAACCUAGCUUCUUGUCAUCUUUUUAUAGUUGAUAACAUGCUGGGCUCGCAUGGAUUAAUUCCAUGAGAAAUCAGUAGAACCUUGAAAACUGCAUAGAUUAGAAAGAAUAAAGCAUCUCAUGGAUGCAUAAUUCUGGUUUUUAUAAUUUAGCCUCAAAACUAAAUUAUUUAGUUCUAGAAUUCAUGUUUAAUUCUUGAGUAAAAGCCGAGCACAAUUGAUUUUGUGAUUGUAUUUAA